UGUGUGUGUGCGCGCGCGUGCGUGCAUGCGUGCGCGUGCAUGCAUGCGUGUCUAUGCAUGUGUGUCUGUUUGUCUGGAAAUCAACCAGGUCUUGUGCUUUACUGUGCACCAUACCCACAGCUCUCUUUGCCUGAUGGAGCAACAGGACUAGGUUUGCUGUGUCAUGUGAAAAAGCCUGGCAAAAUAAAGCAAGCAGCAGCUCCCAGCAGUUCAGGAUGGGCAAGGACAGGCAGGGCAUCGGCCCCAAGCAGAGGUGGAGCUAGGUGUCCAGGGACAGGGCCUGAAGUUCCCCUUGAGUGUCCAGUCUGUGAGCAGCGUCAUAUGGGGAGAAAGCACCCACGGCUGGAUAGGGACUGCUUGGAAGUAGUAGCAGCAGGUGGACCCUUGGUGCCCACAGAGGAUCAGGAGCAGUUUGUGACAACCCUGGUCACAGGGCAGCAGGUGGGGCUUUGGAAGGAGUUGUCUCAGCAGGAGCCCAGAGACCGCUGUGGUCCCCAGCCCUGCCUCAAAGCUUCUGAAAGGGAAAGGGAAUAACACUCGGAAUGUAUAUAAGAAAUACUCAAGUUAAUUAAAAAAAAAAAAAA
This 584-nucleotide long non-coding RNA is filed under the name Rattus norvegicus (Norway rat). Its description in RNAcentral is "long non-coding RNA NONRATT021098". Lineage: Eukaryota; Metazoa; Chordata; Mammalia; Rodentia; Muridae. The record is from RNAcentral.